RNAcentral lists this ribosomal RNA (503 nucleotides) under Ferrimonas balearica. RNAcentral describes it as "bacterial SSU rRNA". It matches the Rfam family "Bacterial small subunit ribosomal RNA", at positions 380 to 874 of the family's 1533-position model. The record is from RNAcentral. Lineage: Bacteria; Pseudomonadati; Pseudomonadota; Gammaproteobacteria; Alteromonadales; Ferrimonadaceae.
AGCCUGAUGCAGCCAUGCCGCGUGUGUGAAGAAGGCCUUCGGGUUGUAAAGCACUUUCAGCGAGGAGGAAAGGUUAGCGGUUAAUACCCGCUGGCUGUGACGUUACUCGCAGAAGAAGCACCGGCUAACUCCGUGCCAGCAGCCGCGGUAAUACGGAGGGUGCGAGCGUUAAUCGGAAUUACUGGGCGUAAAGCGCAUGCAGGCGGCCAAGUCAGUCAGAUGUGAAAGCCCCGGGCUUAACCUGGGAAUUGCAUUUGAUACUGCUUGGCUAGAGUCCUUGAGAGGGGGGUAGAAUUUCAGGUGUAGCGGUGAAAUGCGUAGAGAUCUGAAGGAAUACCAGUGGCGAAGGCGGCCCCCUGGCAAGAGACUGACGCUCAGAUGCGAAAGCGUGGGGAGCAAACAGGAUUAGAUACCCUGGUAGUCCACGCCGUAAACGAUGUCUAUUAGGAGUCUGUGGCCUUGAGGCUGUGGGUUCCAAAGCUAACGCAUUAAAUAGACCGCCU